CGGACGGGUGAGUAACACGUGGGUAACCUGCCUGUAAGACUGGGAUAACUCCGGGAAACCGGAGCUAAUACCGGAUAGUUCCUUGAACCGCAUGGUUCAAGGAUGAAAGACGGUUUCGGCUGUCACUUACAGAUGGACCCGCGGCGCAUUAGCUAGUUGGUGAGGUAACGGCUCACCAAGGCGACGAUGCGUAGCCGACCUGAGAGGGUGAUCGGCCACACUGGGACUGAGACACGGCCCAGACUCCUACGGGAGGCAGCAGUAGGGAAUCUUCCGCAAUGGACGAAAGUCUGACGGAGCAACGCCGCGUGAGUGAUGAAGGUUUUCGGAUCGUAAAGCUCUGUUGUUAGGGAAGAACAAGUGCAAGAGUAACUGCUUGCACCUUGACGGUACCUAACCAGAAAGCCACGGCUAACUACGUGCCAGCAGCCGCGGUAAUACGUAGGUGGCAAGCGUUGUCCGGAAUUAUUGGGCGUAAAGGGCUCGCAGGCGGUUUCUUAAGUCUGAUGUGAAAGCCCCCGGCUCAACCGGGGAGGGUCAUUGGAAACUGGGAAACUUGAGUGCAGAAGAGGAGAGUGGAAUUCCACGUGUAGCGGUGAAAUGCGUAGAGAUGUGGAGGAACACCAGUGGCGAAGGCGACUCUCUGGUCUGUAACUGACGCUGAGGAGCGAAAGCGUGGGGAGCGAACAGGAUUAGAUACCCUGGUAGUCCACGCCGUAAACGAUGAGUGCUAAGUGUUAGGGGGUUUCCGCCCCUUAGUGCUGCAGCUAACGCAUUAAGCACUCCGCCUGGGGAGUACGGUCGCAAGACUGAAACUCAAAGGAAUUGACGGGGGCCCGCACAAGCGGUGGAGCAUGUGGUUUAAUUCGAAGCAACGCGAAGAACCUUACCAGGUCUUGACAUCCUCUGACAACCCUAGAGAUAGGGCUUUCCCUUCGGGGACAGAGUGACAGGUGGUGCAUGGUUGUCGUCAGCUCGUGUCGUGAGAUGUUGGGUUAAGUCCCGCAACGAGCGCAACCCUUGAUCUUAGUUGCCAGCAUUCAGUUGGGCACUCUAAGGUGACUGCCGGUGACAAACCGGAGGAAGGUGGGGAUGACGUCAAAUCAUCAUGCCCCUUAUGACCUGGGCUACACACGUGCUACAAUGGACAGAACAAAGGGCUGCGAGACCGCAAGGUUUAGCCAAUCCCACAAAUCUGUUCUCAGUUCGGAUCGCAGUCUGCAACUCGACUGCGUGAAGCUGGAAUCGCUAGUAAUCGCGGAUCAGCAUGCCGCGGUGAAUACGU
This 1285-nucleotide ribosomal RNA is filed under the name Bacillus aerius. RNAcentral's name for it is "bacterial SSU rRNA". It matches the Rfam family "Bacterial small subunit ribosomal RNA", at positions 99 to 1371 of the family's 1533-position model. The record is from RNAcentral. Lineage: Bacteria; Bacillati; Bacillota; Bacilli; Caryophanales; Bacillaceae.